AGAGUUUGAUCAUGGCUCAGGAUGAACGCUAGCGGCAGGCUUAAUACAUGCAAGUCGAGGGGCAGCAGGAGUAGCAAUACUUGAUGGCGACCGGCAAACGGGUGCGGAACACGUACAGAACCUUCCUUCGAGCGGGGCAUAGCCCGGAGAAAUCCGGAUUAAUACCCCAUAGUAAACUGGAGUGGCAUCACUUUGGUUUUAAAGAUUUAUCACUUGAAGAUGGCUGUGCGCCUGAUUAGGUAGUUGGCGGGGUAACGGCCCACCAAGCCUUCGAUCAGUAACUGGCGUGAGAGCGCGACCAGUCACACGGGCACUGAGACACGGGCCCGACUCCUACGGGAGGCAGCAGUAAGGAAUAUUGGUCAAUGGACGCAAGUCUGAACCAGCCAUGCCGCGUGGAGGAUGAAGGUCCUCUGGAUUGUAAACUUCUUUUAUUUGGGACGAAAAAAGGGCUUUCUAGCUCGUCUGACGGUACCAGAUGAAUAAGCACCGGCUAACUCCGUGCCAGCAGCCGCGGUAAUACGGAGGGUGCAAGCGUUAUCCGGAUUUACUGGGUUUAAAGGGUGCGCAGGCGGAUAUGUAAGUCAGUGGUGAAAUCUCUAGGCUUAACCUGGAAAUUGCCGUUGAUACUAUAUAUCUUGAAUGCUGUGGAGGUAAGCGGAAUAUGUCAUGUAGCGGUGAAAUGCUUAGAUAUGACAUAGAACACCUAUUGCGAAGGCAGCUUACUACGCAGAUAUUGACGCUCAUGCACGAAAGCGUGGGGAUCAAACAGGAUUAGAUACCCUGGUAGUCCACGCCCUAAACGAUGAUUACUCGACAUACGCGAUACACAGUGUGUGUCUGAGCGAAAGCAUUAAGUAAUCCACCUGGGAAGUACGACCGCAAGGUUGAAACUCAAAGGAAUUGGCGGGGGUCCGCACAAGCGGUGGAGCAUGGUGGUUUAAUU
This 946-nucleotide ribosomal RNA is filed under the name uncultured bacterium. RNAcentral describes it as "bacterial SSU rRNA". It matches the Rfam family "Bacterial small subunit ribosomal RNA", at positions 8 to 951 of the family's 1533-position model. The record is from RNAcentral.